ACACUGCUGAGGAGUCCCACAAUAGAACGAAAUGCCCAUCCAGUAC
This 46-nucleotide non-coding RNA is filed under the name Schistosoma haematobium. Lineage: Eukaryota; Metazoa; Platyhelminthes; Trematoda; Strigeidida; Schistosomatidae. The record is from RNAcentral.